Long non-coding RNA from Poecile atricapillus (Black-capped chickadee), 605 nucleotides. RefSeq lists it as uncharacterized. The transcript is spliced from 3 exons. Lineage: Eukaryota; Metazoa; Chordata; Aves; Passeriformes; Paridae. The record is from RefSeq and is a predicted model, not a curated record.
UCGCAUUUCGCCGAGACGUCCUCUCCAACCAACCGGCCGGCACAGCUGUUUCACCGCUCCCGUGAGCCCUGCGGAAACAUUACGGGACCGUGUGACGGAGCCUUUUCCACGUAAAGGGGCCGUGUGGGUGGCCUUCAGGAACGGGCCGAGGGGUUGCCGCGCGCCCUGCGAUGACGGCGUCCGGCUCCCGGUGUGGCUGAAGCGCGCGGCCUCAGGACGUGGCCGUUCACAGGAGACCAAGACAACAGCCCGGCGAUGGCAGGAACUUCCCGGAUGGCGAGGCGGCCUUCCUUGGCGCUCCAUGUGGAUCCUCCCCGCUGGGCAUCCGAGAGCUGAGUCGGAGGCUGCAAAUUGCAGAGGGGCUGAAAUCGGGGUGCCGGGUCGGGACUCGUGACCUGGGAUUAUGGAGUCAGCUUUGGGGACGGGGAGGUCCAGGCUGUGGCCCCUUAGGCCACGUGAAGGGAGAGCCUCACUUUUGUUCACAGUGCUGAGGUGUGCAGGACGGAGCAGCCCCAGGGCGUGUUGUAUCACUUGUCCAUUGUGCCUUGUGUGUCUUUUGUGCUUCUCGUGUUGUACGUGCCUCGCCUUAUCUCUUCUGGGGGCUU